Molecule: ribosomal RNA, 239 nt
Filed under: uncultured bacterium
Lineage: Bacteria
Description: partial 16S ribosomal RNA
Rfam family: Bacterial small subunit ribosomal RNA
Source: RNAcentral
GAUCAUGGCUCAGGAUGAACGCUGGCGGCGUGCUUAACACAUGCAAGUCGAGCGAAGCGGUUUCGAUGAAGUUUUCGGAUGGAAUUGAAAUUGACUUAGCGGCGGACGGGUGAGUAACGCGUGGGUAACCUGCCUUACACUGGGGGAUAACAGUUAGAAAUGACUGCUAAUACCGCAUAAGCGCACAGGGCCGCAUGGUCUGGUGUGAAAAACUCCGGCGGUGUAAGAUGGACCCGCGU